RNAcentral lists this ribosomal RNA (482 nucleotides) under uncultured Pelotomaculum sp. RNAcentral describes it as "bacterial SSU rRNA". It matches the Rfam family "Bacterial small subunit ribosomal RNA", at positions 902 to 1382 of the family's 1533-position model. Lineage: Bacteria; Bacillati; Bacillota; Clostridia; Eubacteriales; Desulfotomaculaceae. The record is from RNAcentral.
CAAAGGAAUUGACAGGGCCCGCACAAGCGGUGGAGCAUGUGGUUUAAUUCGACGCAACGCGAAGAACCUUACCAGGGCUUGACAUCCCCUGACCGCGUAUGAAAGUACGUUUUCACCCUCGGGUGACAGGGAGACAGGUGGUGCAUGGUUGUCGUCAGCUCGUGUCGUGAGAUGUUGGGUUAAGUCCCGCAACGAGCGCAACCCCUACGUUUAGUUGCUAACGCGUGAAGGCGAGCACUCUAGACGAACUGCCGUUGACAAAACGGAGGAAGGUGGGGAUGACGUCAAAUCAUCAUGCCCCUUAUGUUCUGGGCUACACACGUGCUACAAUGGCCGGUACAGACGGAGGCGAAGCCGCGAGGCGGAGCAAAUCCGAAAAAGCCGGUCUCAGUUCGGAUUGCAGGCUGCAAUUCGCCUGCAUGAAGUCGGAAUCGCUAGUAAUCGCAGGUCAGCAUACUGCGGUGAAUACGUUCCCGGGCCUU